RNAcentral lists this long non-coding RNA (5769 nucleotides) under Sus scrofa (pig). RNAcentral's name for it is "lncRNA (ENSSSCG00000049895.2)". Lineage: Eukaryota; Metazoa; Chordata; Mammalia; Artiodactyla; Suidae. The record is from RNAcentral.
UGUAUACUUUUUUUGAUAUGUUGUUUGAUUCGGUUGGCUAAGAUUUUGUUGAGAAUUUUUGCAUCUAUAUUCAUCAAUGAUAUUGGGUGAUAGUUUUCUUUUUUGGUGGUAUCUCUGUCUGGUUUUGGAAUGAGGGUGAUGGUGGCAUCAUAGAAUGUCUUUGGGAAUAUUCCUUCUUCUUCAAACUUUUGAAAGAGUUUAAGGAGGAUGGGCACCAAUUCCUCUUUAUAUGUUUGAUAGAAUUCACCUGUGAAGCCAUCUGGUCCUGGACUUUUAUUUGUAGGGAGUGAUUUUAUGACCUCUUCAAUUUCAUUUCUAGUGAUCGGUCUGUUCAGUUGGUCUGUUUCUACUUGAUUCAGUUUUGGCAGGGUGUAAGAUUCUAGAAAAUUGUCCAUUUCUUCCAGCUUGUCAAACUUGUUGCCAUACAGUUGUUCAUAGUAUUCUCUUAUGGUUUUUUGUAUUUCUGCUGUAUCUGUUGUGAUUUCUCCUUUUUCAUUUAUAGUUUUGGUUAUUUGGGUUCCUUCUCUCCUCUUUUUAGUGAGUCUGGCCAGGGGUUUGUCAAUUUUGUUUACCUUUUCAAAGAACCAGCUCUUGGUUUUAUUAACUUUCUCUAUUGUUUUUUGAAUCUCUAUUUUAUUGAUUUCUUCUUUGAUCUUUAUAAUUUUCUUCCUUCUGCUGACUUUAGGGCUUUUUUGUUCUUCUUUUUCUAAUUCGUUUAGGUGGAGGGUUAAGUUGUCAAUUUGGGAUCUUUCUUCUUUUUUGAGAAAGGCCUGUAUUGCUAUAAAUUUCCCUCUGAGCACUGCUUUCACAGCAUCCCAUAGAUUUUGAGAGGUUGUGUCUUCAUUAUCAUUUGUUUCAAGGUAUUUUUUUUAUUUCCUGCUUGAUUUCCUCAUUGACCCAUUGGUUUUUUAGUAGCAUGUUGUUUAGUCUCCAUGGAGUAGGUUUUUUCUCUUUCCUUUUCCCAUGGUUGAUUUCUAAUUUCAUGGCAUUGUGGUCAGAGAAGAUACUUGAGAUAAUUUCUAUGCUCCUAAAUUUAUUGAGGUUAGCUUUGUGUCCCAAUAUGUGGUCGAUUCUUGAGAAUGUUCCAUGAGCAUUUGAGAAGAAUGUGUAUUCUCAUUUUUUUGGAUGUAGUGUCCUGAAGGUAUCAGUUAAGUCUAACUUUUCUAUUGUUUCCUUUAGGAUCUCUGUUGCUUUAUUGGUUUUCUGUCUAGAGGAUCUGUCCAUUGAUGUGAGGGGGGUAUUAAGGUCUCCUACUAUGAUUGUAUUCUCAUCAAUAUCUCCCUUUAUGUCUGUUAAUAUUUGUUGUAUGUAUCUGGGUGGUCCUAUAUUUGGGGCAUAUAUGUUGACGAUAGUAACAUCCUCUCCUUGGAUGGAUCCCUUAAUCAUUAAGUAGUGUCCUUCUUUGUCUUUCUUUAUGUCUUUUGUUUUAAAGUCUAUUUUGUCUGAUAUGAGUGUUGCAACUCCUGCUUUUCUGUCAUGUGUAUUGGCGUGAAAUAUUUUUCCCCACCCUUUCACUUUCAAUCUAUGUGUAUCCUUUGUCCUAAGGUGAGUUUCUUGUAGGCAGCAUAUUGAAGGUUUUUGCCUUUUUAUCCACUCAGCCACUCUGUGUCUUUUGAUUGGGGCAUUCAGUCCAUUGACAUUUAAGGUGAUGAUUGAUAGAUAAUUAUUUAUUGCCAUUUUGAACCUCGUGUUCCAGUUGAUUCUAUGGUUCUCCAUUCUUCCUUUCUUUUUUUUUUUUGGUGGGAUGGUCUCCUGUUAUUAUCUGCUUGAGUGUUUUUUUUUCUUUCAUUUUUUGCGGAUGCAAUAUUUGGUUUUGGCUUGCUAUUCACCCUUAAAAUAACAAAACAAUGCCGUUCAUAGCAAUAUGGAGGCAACUAGAGAUUCUCAUACUAAGUAAAGUAGUCAGAAAGAGAAAGACAAAUACAUUAUGAUAUCCUUUACAUGUAGAAUCUAAAAUACGGCACGAACAAUCCUAUCUACAAAAUAGAAAUAUACUCACAUUCAUAGAGAAUAGACUUGUGGUUGCCGAGGUGGGGGGAAGGAGUGGGAUGGGUGGGGAGUUUGGGGUUGGUAGAUGCAAACUAUUACCUUUAUAAUAGAUAAACAAUGAGGUUCUACUGCCCAGCACAGGGAACUAUAUCCAGUCUCUUGGGAUAGACCAUGAUGGAAGAUAAUAAAAGAAAGAAAAUGUAUAUCUAUGUAUGACUGGGUCACUUCUCUGUACAACAAAAAUUGGACAACAUUGUAAAUCAGCUAGCCAGACUUUAAUAAAAAAUGAAAAAAUUUAAAAGAGAGAGAGAGAAAAAAAAGGAAAUGUGAUCUAAUUUUGUGGUCCAAAAAGCUGAGGUCUGAAAGGGUUCAAUUACAUAUGGAAGGUCACAAUUUCUGGGAGAUUCUUGACCCCUGCCAUGACACCCUGGCUGGAAGCCUGGUCAUACUCCAGUAUGUCUUCCUGGAUCCCAUUGUUCUUUCUUGUGAGUGUCUUUCCUCCUGACUCCUUAUUUCCUAUUCAAAUCUUCAAAUCCAUCUAUUCCAUCAGGGCAGAAGGCAGACUACCUCUAUGAGGGGAGAGGGGGGUCUAACAGUCUCUCUAUUGUCUUUCAUACAUGUGUGUGUGCCCACGCGCGCAUGCGUGCCUUGAUAGAAUAUAUACACAUGGUGUGUGCAUCUGUAUUUACUAUGGCAAUAUUUUGCAUUAUAAACAAAUUACCUUGAGGGAGUAUGAGAUCCUCAGGGGCAGGGUAUCCACUAAGAAUCUUUUUGUUGCAAAUGAUAUAAAGUCAGUUGUGUUCUCAGUGGAGAAAACCAAACCACCUCCAACCUCUGUCCCAAAACACCUAGCAACUUUCAGAUAUGACCCCACCUUGGGCUCAGUUCUCUCUUUCCAUAUGUUGGCUCAAUUUCCUGCUGCUCUCCAUCCUUUCAGGUCAGCCCCAGCGGUGAGUGAAAGCACAGUCCUCUCUCCCGUGAGACCCAGCCCAGCUCCAGGGUUCAGCUCCAAAACCACCUUCAAGGCGCAGGCAUGGGGUGCACCAAAUGGCUGAGACUAGACCCCACAUCCAUCCUUGGCACUGAUGAGGAUUCAGAUGGACCCCAAGGUUUAGGAACAAGAAAGUGGCCGGUUUUCAGAAGAAAACUGGGAUGGCGUUGCCAAAAGAACAGGGGAUCAAUAUUGAAUGGCAACAAUAACAAGUGUCCACUAUGGUUUGACUUUGUAUGGCCAGGACUUGGGACAGGAUGGACAUUUAGCAAACAUCUACUGAAUUAAACAGAACCCUGCAAUACUAGCUUCCCAAUCACACGCCGUAGGAAAGAAUGGGCUGAAAAGGAAGAUGUGCUAUUAAACCCUUAGUGUCUUUGGGGUUUAUAGCUAAAAAGCACAUGCUCUAAUUGCUAUUUUUUUUUUUUUGUCUUUUUUUUAGGGCGUUGCCCACAGCAUAUGGAGGUUCCUAGGCUAGGGGUCCAAUCAGAGCUCUAGCUGCUGGCCUACACCACAGCCACAGCAAUGCCAGAUCCAAGCCGCAUCUGUGACCUAUACCACAGCUCAUGGCAACGCCGGAUCCUUAACCCAUUGAGCGAGGCCAGUGAUCGAACCUGCAUCCUCAUGGUUGCUCGUCAGAUUCGUUUCCGCUGAGCCACCACGGGAACCCCUGAUUGCUAUUUUGCAUUAUUUCUUUUAAACUAGAGAAGGUGUCAGAUACUCUGAAAGUUUAAAUCAGUGGGUCCCCAUCUUGGUUCAGUGACAUAGCUAUGGUUACUCUUUUAAAAUUCAGUGGGAACUAUCAACCAUUUCCUCAGAAAAUUUUCCAUAUAAUAAUAAUUCACUUGGGAUUUGGGGAGUUCCUGGAGUCCUAGCGGGCCAGGAAUAAUGCCUUGACAUUGGAUUUUGUAUAUUGCACGAUUCCCCAUUGUUUGCAAAAUCCUUCCUCUUGGCACUACCCUGACUCAGGACUAGAGGGCAUUGUGUACUCAGAAACCACAUCAGACACAGUGUGCAAGCGCUUUAGAUUUUUACACAGAAAUGCUUGUUCACCGCUCAGUUAACAAGUAAGUCCUUCCCCUCUCCCAGGAGGGAAUGAAGUCAGCCCCCUGCGAGGAAAGGGAUGGGGAGAAAGGGAGCCACGCUGCCUAAAUGUUUCCCUCAUUUGUAUGUUGAUGAAAUGUCGGCAAUCUCCUCGGAGUUCAAGUGCCUGGUUGGGAUUGAUUUCCCAGCAAGGAUCCUGGUGUGCUGGGAUGUGCAGCCUAUUGGGAGCACAUGAGGUUCAAAGUCCCAGCCUUGCCUCUGGCUGCCUAUGGGAUCUUAGGAACACCCUUCCCUCCUCUGGGCCUCUUUGCAAAAACUACAGGAUGAGAUUAGCUGCUCCCAGAUAAUUACGGAACGUGAUGCCUCUCAGGUUCAAAUGUUCCAGGAGUGGUGGAGAGAUGGGAGGGGGACCAAAAAAAAAAAAAUACAGCCAAGGAAGAGUGUGGCUAGACUUGGAAAUGAACAUAUCAGAGGAUUCUGUGAGGAUGCAGGCAAAGCAAUAAACCUAGCUAGGGAAUUUGGAGGGUGGAAGGAGAAGACCCAUCUAUGAUGCUAAAUGGUUUGUAUAUAAAAGCAAUCAGCUUAUCCAAAAGGACUGUCCUGCAAGAGGCAGCCUCUGAGAUGGCUCUAGGGAGUCCUACCUCCUUGCGAAAUCCAUCCCCCUUGAGUGAGCUCACCCUAGACUUACUUCUAACAAACAGAACAAGGAAAAUGUACAGGAUUUCACUUUGGAGAUUAGGUCACAAGAAGAUGGUAAAUUCCAUCUUGGGCUCUCUUUUUCCUUCUACCUUUCUGUGCUAAGCUAGCUGCCACACUGAGAGCCAGGAACUCCAUGGCAAGGAAUGAAGGGAGGCUUCCAGACCACUGCCAGUGAGAAACGGAGGCCCCUGGUCCAGCAGUUCACAUGAGAUAGAUUCCUGCCAAUAACCAUCUGGACAAGCUUGGGGGUGGGUCCUUCCCCAUCUGAGCUUUCAUAUCAGAAGGCAGCCCUGGCUCAGAGCUUGAUGAUAGACUCUGAGAGACCUAAGGGCAGAGGCAUCCCGCUGAGCCAUGCCUAGAUGCCUGACCUUUGGAAACUGUGAGACAAUGUCUGUUGUCUGAAGAUGCUAAGAUUUGGGAUAAUUUGUGACAGGUAACUAAUGCAAAUAUUAAAGAAGUGAUUUCCAAACCUUUCUAACCGGCAGUGUGAUUUAGGGUAAGUCUUUUUUUUUUUUUUUUGAAGUUUGUUUGUUUGUUUUUUAGGGUAAGUCUUUUCCCUUCUCUAAACCUUGAUUUGUUCAUGGGUAAAUGGUAGCUAUAGAGGAUUGCUUGAGGUUUAAAUGAGAUCAUGAAUGAAAAGUGCUUGCGUGGUAUUUGGCCCAAGAGCAGUCAGUACAAGAGCACCACCACCAUCAUCAAAGGAGACCCACAGUAGAGGGGUAGAAGCUAGUAGCUACUUCCUAUUUUUUUCUUUAGUCACAGACCGUAUGACUGUGAGCAAAUGACGGUCCAAUCCUAGAGCCCCAUCCUCUGGCACCAAUGAUUGGCCCAAAAGGUAGGCGCUGAACUAAAAGGACCAAUGACCAUCCCUUCCCGAGAUUUACACACAGUUGCUGGGAGAGGCUGGCAUGGGGAGGAAUUUCUCACACCUUCGAGAGAAAUCCUCUAACCCUUCCUCCAAAACAGAGGCCAUCAGUAAUUUCCAGCAAAGCUCUUUGAUAUUUAUUUUAUUUCCAUUAGAGUUAAAUUCCAGUGAUUAAUGAAGC